Molecule: ribosomal RNA, 497 nt
Filed under: uncultured bacterium
Lineage: Bacteria
Description: partial 16S ribosomal RNA
Rfam family: Bacterial small subunit ribosomal RNA
Source: RNAcentral
GAUGAACGCUGGCGGCGUGCCUAAUACAUGCAAGUCGAACGAAAAUUCUUUAUGCCCGCUUGCUUGCCCUCACCGGUGAAGGGUUGAGUGACAAGCGGGUGACUAACACAUAGGCAACCGACCCAAACGGGGGGGCUGACCCAUUGAAGCAUAAUAUAUUGAACCGUAAGCUUCAUUAGCGCAUGAUGACUUUGUAGACAGUGACUGUACUACCCGCGCCGCAUUAGCUAGUUGGUAAGGUAACGGCUUACCAAGGCAAGGAUGCGUAGCCGACCUGAGAGGGUGAUCGGCCACACUGGGACUGAGACACGGUCCAGACUCCUACGGGAGGCAGCAGUAGGGAAUCUUCCACAAUGGGCGAAAGCCUGACGGAGCAACGCCGCGUGGGUGAUGAAGGUCUUCGGAUCGUAAAACCCUGUUGUUAGGGAAGAACGAGUGUGAGAGUAACUGUGCACGUCUUGACGGUACCUAAUCAGAAAGCCACGGCUAACUACGUG